GUACUCACUUUGGCAUCACAUAUACUAAAAUUGAAAUGAUACAGAGAAGAUCAGCAUGUCCCCUGCAUGAGGAUGACAAGCAAAUUUAUGAAGCAUUCCAUGUUAAA
Small nuclear RNA from Nycticebus coucang (slow loris), 107 nucleotides. The record is from RefSeq and is a predicted model, not a curated record. Lineage: Eukaryota; Metazoa; Chordata; Mammalia; Primates; Lorisidae.